CUGCCUUGUGGUUCAGGACAACAUUGGGAAACCGAUGCUAAUACUGGAUAAGCCCUUACGGGGAAAGUUUUAAUGCCAUAAGAUGAGCCCGCAUUUGAUUAGUUAGUUGGUGAGGUAAUGGCUCACCAAGACAAUGAUCAAUAGCUGAUCUGAGAGGAUGAUCAGCCACACUGGGACUGAGACACGGCCCAGACUCCUACGGGAGGCAGCAGUGGGGAAUCUUGCACAAUGGAGGAAACUCUGAUGCAGCGAUGCCGCGUGGGUGAUGAAGGCCUUCGGGUUGUAAAGCCCUUUUGGCGGGGACGAUGAUGACGGUACCCGCAGAAGAAGCCCCGGCUAACUUCGUGCCAGCAGCCGCGGUAAUACGAAGGGGGCUAGCGUUGUUCGGAAUUACUGGGCGUAAAGGGCGCGUAGGCGGCCUUGAUAGUUGGGCGUGAAAGGCCUGGGCUUAACCCAGGAACUGCGUUCAAUACUGUAAGGCUAGAGUGUGGGAGAGGUUGGUGGAAUUCCCAGUGUAGAGGUGAAAUUCGUAGAUAUUGGGAAGAACACCAGUUGCGAAGGCGGCUUUCUGGGUCAACACUGACGCUGAGGCGCGAAAGUAUGGGUAGCAAAGAGGAUUAGAUACCCUCGUAGUCCAUACCAUAAACGAUGAUUGCUAGAUGUUGGAAAUUUAUUUUCAGUAUCGCAGCUAACGCAUUAAGCAAUCCGCCUGGGGAGUACGACCGCAAGGUUAAAACUCAAAUGAAUUGACGGGGACCCGCACAAGCGGUGGAGCAUGUGGUUUAAUUCGAAGAUACGCGCAGAACCUUACCAACCCUUGACAUGUCUGUCGCGAGUUUAGGAAACUAGACUUUUCGGUUCGGCCGGACAGAACACAGGUGCUGCAUGGCUGUCGUCAGCUCGUGUCGUGAGAUGUUGGGUUAAGUCCCGCAACGAGCGCAAACCCCUACUUUUAGUUGCCAUCAGGUCAUGCUGGGCACUCUGAAAGAACUGCCAGUGAUAAGCUGGAGGAAGGUGGGGAUGACGUCAAGUCCUCAUGGCCCUUACGGGUUGGGCUACACACGUGCUACAAUGGUAGUGACAAUGAGAUGCAAGGUGGCGACGCUAAG
This 1109-nucleotide ribosomal RNA is filed under the name uncultured bacterium. Its description in RNAcentral is "bacterial SSU rRNA". It matches the Rfam family "Bacterial small subunit ribosomal RNA", at positions 126 to 1267 of the family's 1533-position model. The record is from RNAcentral.